This 498-nucleotide ribosomal RNA is filed under the name uncultured bacterium. Its description in RNAcentral is "SSU rRNA". It matches the Rfam family "Bacterial small subunit ribosomal RNA", at positions 26 to 521 of the family's 1533-position model. The record is from RNAcentral.
AGGACGAACGCUGGCGGCGUGCUUAACACAUGCAAGUGGAGCGACGAACCAGGGCUUGCCCUGGGGCAGAGCCGCGAACGGGUGAGUAACACGUGGGUUACCUGCCUCGAUGACCGGGACAACCCGAGGAAAACUCGGGCUAAUACCGGAUGUGCCCGCAAGGGGAAAGGAAGCUUCGGCCUCCGCAUCGAGAUGGGCCCGCGGCCCAUUAGCUUGUUGGUGAGGUAACGGCUCACCAAGGCUUCGAUGGGUAGCUGGUCUGAGAGGACGAUCAGCCACACUGGGACUGAGACACGGCCCAGACUCCUACGGGAGGCAGCAGUGGGGAAUCUUGCGCAAUGCGCGAAAGCGUGACGCAGCAACGCCGCGUGGGGGAAGAAGGCUUUCGGGUUGUAAACCCCUUUCAGUUGGGACGAAGCUUCGACGGUGAAUAGCCGGACGGAGUGACGGUACCUUCACAAGAAGCACCGGCUAACUACGUGACCAGCAAGCCGCGGU